AACCUCUGCUCCUUGCGGCUUAGACAGACAUGGGAAAGCAGAAGUGAAAAUGACCUACGAGAAAACAGCAGAUUAUCUUAGGGCGUUGGAGCAGUGAAGGAUUUCUUAACAAGAUUCAGGAAGCAACCCAUUAAAAAAGGGCAGAUAUAACUACAUUAGAAUUGAUAAUUUCAUUUUGCUCAAAGAUGCCAGGAACAGAGCAAAAGGUAAACUGCAGAUGGCAGGAAAGAGCUUGCAAGUCAUUCAACAAAUAAAGGGUUUGUUUAUAGCACAUGCGAAGCCUACAAACGAAUGAGAGAAAGACGAACAGCAAGAGAAAACAGGCGAAGGACAUGAAUGGGCAAUUCACUGGUGGGAAGUGUCCAUACCCAAUAAACAGCGAGUCAGGGAUUUGCCCAGCCCAGCGUCGGAAGAACCGCAGGUGCUCUGAAACUGGCUGCAGCAUCGCCGCCCUCUCCCCUACAGCAGUUAGAGGAUCCUGUCGAGAUGGAAAUCCAGCAACAGCCCUGCCUUAAAAACCUGCUGAUGUGUUUCCAUUGAAUUCAAAAUCCAAAUGCUACAGAUUUGAAAAGAUCUCCGGAGAACAGAGGCUCACUCUCUGCUAGACCCUCUGCACUCACUCAGCCGUUUUGUACGCUGUCCCUUCAACCAGGAACCCGUUUGUGUGGUCAGAGUGUUAAACCAUCAUCCUUUCAAGAUGUGCAGACUGCUGUACUGAGAAGCGCUGUAAGGUUCAGAGCUGGACCAGGUGUAGGUCAAGGUCGAGCAUCUAUUCAACCUACAGCAGGUCUUGAAAGGGCCUUUGUAAUAUCUCGUCUCACCUGGGGGCAGCGCUGCCGUGUGAACUGAGUACAUCAGCACAUCCUCACUGGGGAACCGAAUGGCCAUGAAUUUAGAACAUUUGGUGAGAAGACCUGGCCCCUGGAUCGGAAGGUCUGCUGGGGCAUCGGGUCCCCCACAGACCAUGUGAUGGUGUGACAAUGAGAAAGUCACUUGAUAACCCCAGUGGAGGUCACACCUCCCUCCCCAGCUCUCUGGCAUCACAAAGUACCCUAAGAUGUUGGAGAAACACACUGGGCAGAGCUGUGCCCCUCAAAACCCCCAGGCCGAAGCCCUGAUCCCCAAGACCUCAGAACGUGGCUGUAUUUGAGGACAGGCUCUCCGAGGGAGAUUCACGCACGGCGAGGCCGGCAGGGUGGGCCCGAAGGCAUCCUGACUGGUAUCCUCUAAGAAGAUAUUUGGACACACCCCAAAAUGCCAGGGAUGCCCCCGAGGAGGGACCGCAUGAGGACACGGGGAGAAGUUGGCUGUCUGCGCCCAGGAGAGAGGACCCAGGAGGAGCCCAUGUGGGAGUUCCUGUUGUGGCUCAGCAGUUAUGAACCCACCUAGUAUCUGUGAGGACAAGGGUUCGAUCCCUGGCCUCGCUCAGUGGGUUAAGGAUCUGGCGUUGCCAUGAGCUUCAGUGUAGUUUGCAGACGUGGCUCGGAUCUGGCGUGGCUGUGGCCGUGGUGUAGGCCGGCAGCUGCAGCUCCGACUUGCCCCCUAACCUGGGAACUUCUAUUUGCCGCAAGUAUGGCCCUAAGAAGCAAAAAGGAAAAAAAAGAAGGAAGCUAUGUGGCCCUUGACCUUGGGCUUCCAGUCUCCAGGUUGGGAGAAAUGAAUUUCUGCUGUUUCAGGCACCUCAUCAGGGGUUUACUGUAGUCUGAGCAAACUUAACCCAAGUCAAGAAAGAAACAAAACCAGAAAUAACGACACUGACGCAUCCCUUUAUUGAGGGGGCUGCUGUCCUCGAAGAAGGAGGGGCUGGAGACGAGAGCUCUGCUCCUGCUCGGUCUCCGGCUCGCCUGGUGGCAGUGAGCCACGGGCCCCUCUCUGCCUCAGCUGCGAUCUCGAGGGUGGAUCAAGGGCCUCCUUCUCGGAUUCCAACCCCGUCCUGCUCUCCAGUCGACUUGACGACGUCAGGGAGAGAGGCUGGGCUUUUGUCUGUUCUGAGAAGAGCGCCCGCCCGGUGGGCAGGUACAAAGGAGAGGCUUCCGCCCGACUCACUCUGCAGCCGCCCCGAGAAGGGCUGUUUCAGAGCCAACUCCAGCCACCGCCACGUCGGUGCCUCGGGACAGGACGUGUUUCUCAGGCAAGAUCACGACCUUCCCCGGCCAGCCGCUCUUGAGAAAUGGGACAGUCUCGCCUGGGAACCUGAGUAUCUCUUUCCAGGCUGCUCAUCUCAAUGUGCAGAGCUCAUCCACAGCCAGAACCCGUGUGGAUGAGAAACCACGAAGCCGCGUUGACAGCUGAUGAAAGAAAGGUUUUGUCCUCUCCCGGAAAUGCCGCUGGGCCAGGUCCCUUGCGGCUACAGGGCCAGUUGGGACCAGACUCCCCGGUGGGAAGGCGGGGCUGGCUCCCAGGGUGCCUCCCUUCGCUCUGAGCCAGGGCUGACUCUGUUCUGAUAAACCGGAACGCCAAGGCAUUG
This 2467-nucleotide long non-coding RNA is filed under the name Sus scrofa (pig). RNAcentral's name for it is "lncRNA (ENSSSCG00055006358.1)". The record is from RNAcentral. Lineage: Eukaryota; Metazoa; Chordata; Mammalia; Artiodactyla; Suidae.